This 104-nucleotide small nuclear RNA is filed under the name Neogale vison (American mink). Its description in RNAcentral is "Neovison vison (American mink) U4 spliceosomal RNA (ENSNVIG00000022872.1)". The stretch from base 1 to 71 matches the Rfam family "U4 spliceosomal RNA". Rfam says of the family: U4 small nuclear RNA (U4 snRNA) is a component of the major U2-dependent spliceosome. The structure of U4 snRNA from yeast and human has been reported. U4 snRNA presents a k-turn RNA motif in the 5p-SL related to recognition of Snu13 protein. The record is from RNAcentral. Lineage: Eukaryota; Metazoa; Chordata; Mammalia; Carnivora; Mustelidae.
AGCUUUGUGCAGUGGCAGUAUCGUAGCCAAUGAGGUUUAUCCGAGGCGCAAUUAUUGCUAAUUGAAAAAAUGAAUGUAGAGAAGUUUGGAGAGUCCCAAGGAAC